This 1360-nucleotide ribosomal RNA is filed under the name uncultured bacterium. RNAcentral describes it as "bacterial SSU rRNA". It matches the Rfam family "Bacterial small subunit ribosomal RNA", at positions 28 to 1381 of the family's 1533-position model. The record is from RNAcentral.
GAUGAACGCUAGCUACAGGCUUAACACAUGCAAGUCGAGGGGCAGCAUUUCAGUUUGCUUGCAAACUGGAGAUGGCGACCGGCGCACGGGUGAGUAACACGUAUCCAACCUGCCGAUAACUCGGGGAUAGCCUUUCGAAAGAAAGAUUAAUACCCGAUGGCAUAAUUAGACCGCAUGGUCUUAUUAUUAAAGAAUUUCGGUUAUCGAUGGGGAUGCGUUCCAUUAGGCAGUUGGUGAGGUAACGGCUCACCAAACCUUCGAUGGAUAGGGGUUCUGAGAGGAAGGUCCCCCACAUUGGAACUGAGACACGGUCCAAACUCCUACGGGAGGCAGCAGUGAGGAAUAUUGGUCAAUGGGCGCAGGCCUGAACCAGCCAAGUAGCGUGAAGGAUGACUGCCCUAUGGGUUGUAAACUUCUUUUAUAUGGGAAUAAAGUUUUCCACGUGUGGAAUUUUGUAUGUACCAUAUGAAUAAGGAUCGGCUAACUCCGUGCCAGCAGCCGCGGUAAUACGGAGGAUCCGAGCGUUAUCCGGAUUUAUUGGGUUUAAAGGGAGCGUAGGUGGACAGUUAAGUCAGUUGUGAAAGUUUGCGGCUCAACCGUAAAAUUGCAGUUGAUACUGGCUGUCUUGAGUACAGUAGAGGUGGGCGGAAUUCGUGGUGUAGCGGUGAAAUGCUUAGAUAUCACGAAGAACUCCGAUUGCGAAGGCAGCUCACUGGACUGCAACUGACACUGAUGCUCGAAAGUGUGGGUAUCAAACAGGAUUAGAUACCCUGGUAGUCCACACAGUAAACGAUGAAUACUCGCUGUUUGCGAUAUACAGUAAGCGGCCAAGCGAAAGCAUUAAGUAUUCCACCUGGGGAGUACGCCGGCAACGGUGAAACUCAAAGGAAUUGACGGGGGCCCGCACAAGCGGAGGAACAUGUGGUUUAAUUCGAUGAUACGCGAGGAACCUUACCCGGGCUUAAAUUGCAUUUGAAUAUAUUGGAAACAGUAUAGCCGUAAGGCAAAUGUGAAGGUGCUGCAUGGUUGUCGUCAGCUCGUGCCGUGAGGUGUCGGCUUAAGUGCCAUAACGAGCGCAACCCUUAUCUUUAGUUACUAACAGGUCAUGCUGAGGACUCUAGAGAGACUGCCGUCGUAAGAUGUGAGGAAGGUGGGGAUGACGUCAAAUCAGCACGGCCCUUACGUCCGGGGCUACACACGUGUUACAAUGGGGGGUACAGAAGGCAGCUACCUGGUGACAGGAUGCUAAUCCCAAAAGCCUCUCUCAGUUCGGAUCGAAGUCUGCAACCCGACUUCGUGAAGCUGGAUUCGCUAGUAAUCGCGCAUUCAGCCAUGGCGCGGUGAAUACGUUCCCGGGCCU